UACGUAGGGGGCAAGCGUUGUCCGGAAUCAUUGGGCGUAAAGAGCGCGUAGGCGGUCCGGUAAGUCAGCUGUGAAAGUCAAGGGCUCAACCCUUGAAUGCCGGUUGAUACUGUCGGGCUAGAGUCCGGAAGAGGCGAGUGGAAUUCCCGGUGUAGCGGUGAAAUGCGCAGAUAUCGGGAGGAACACCAAUGGCGAAGGCAGCUCGCUGGGACGGUACUGACGCUGAGGCGCGAAAGCGUGGGGAGCAAACAGG
This 253-nucleotide ribosomal RNA is filed under the name uncultured bacterium. RNAcentral's name for it is "partial 16S ribosomal RNA". It matches the Rfam family "Bacterial small subunit ribosomal RNA", at positions 524 to 776 of the family's 1533-position model. The record is from RNAcentral.